This 477-nucleotide long non-coding RNA is filed under the name Bos indicus x Bos taurus (hybrid cattle). RNAcentral's name for it is "lncRNA (ENSBIXG00000002353.1)". The record is from RNAcentral. Lineage: Eukaryota; Metazoa; Chordata; Mammalia; Artiodactyla; Bovidae.
AUGAGUGAAAUUGCAGCCUGCCCUCCGUCUCCCGCUGCUGGCAAUCCUUCAGCUCUCCCAUCUCCCACCUCCUCUCCCUCCUCCAGUCAGUAACUCUUCUUGCGGGUACGCUUGAUGCCAGUCCCUGUAUGCCAGCUGCUGUGCUAUACAACUGUAUUUCUCAAGUGCAACGAAGGAGGGAUGACUUUUGCUACCUCACCUGGACCACAAGGAGGAGGAAGCCAGAGUUUCAGCCAAUCCUACCACACCCAUUGAUGUUUCAGUGCUGUGAUGUCUGCCUAUGAGAGCUCUGAUUUUGGGUUCUGAACUUUCACCCUGCGGAUGAAGCUUUUGUCCCAAGAAUGCACUGGGGCACCUGGCUCCUGUGGACCUGUUGGAGAACCAUGUUAUGUAGGAGUCUCUGCUUGCAGAUCUGGGCUAGGUCAAGAGAGUGAUGAAGGUUAAUAAAGUCUGAAUGAAUUAGUACUUCUGACUGCA